GGAGGGCAAGUCUGGUGCCAGCAGCCGCGGUAAUUCCAGCUCCAAUAGCGUAUAUUAAAGUUGUUGCAGUUAAAAAGCUCGUAGUUGAAUUUCGGGGUUCUACCGUUGGUCGGGCUUUGUCUGUACUGGUGUGUAGAAUUUCUACCUUCUGGGGAACCAUCAUGCUAUUAAUUUAGCGUGGUGGGAAACCAGGACCUUUACCUUGAAAAAAUUAGUGUGUUCAAGGCAGGCUUAUGUCUGAAUACAUUAGCGUGGAAUAAUAGAAUAGGACGGUGGUCCUGUUUUGUUGGUUUCUGAAUCACCGUAAUGAUUAAUAGGGAUAGUUGGGGGCAUUAGUAUUCAAUUGUCAGAGGUGAAAUUCUUGGAUUUAUUGAAGACUAACUUCUGCGAAAGCAUUUGCCAAGGAUGUUUUCAUUAAUCAAGAACGAAAGUUAGGGGAUCGAAGACGAUCAGAUACCGUCGUAGUCUUAACCAUAAACUAUGCCGACUAGGGAUCGGACGAUGUUAAUUUUUCUUGACUCGUUCGGCGCCUUACGGGAAAC
This 542-nucleotide ribosomal RNA is filed under the name uncultured Glomeromycotina. RNAcentral's name for it is "SSU rRNA". It matches the Rfam family "Eukaryotic small subunit ribosomal RNA", at positions 550 to 1098 of the family's 1831-position model. The record is from RNAcentral. Lineage: Eukaryota; Fungi; Glomeromycota.